UAAUCAUUAUGUAGGAGAGAUGGCCGAGUGGUUGAAGGCGUAGCAUUGGAACUGCUAUGUAGACUUCUGUUUACCGAGGGUUCGAAUCCCUCUCUUUCCGU
RNAcentral lists this transfer RNA (101 nucleotides) under Rosa chinensis. Its description in RNAcentral is "tRNA RchiOBHm_CPg0502231". The stretch from base 14 to 100 matches the Rfam family "tRNA". Rfam says of the family: Transfer RNA (tRNA) molecules are approximately 80 nucleotides in length. Their secondary structure includes four short double-helical elements and three loops (D, anti-codon, and T loops). Lineage: Eukaryota; Viridiplantae; Streptophyta; Magnoliopsida; Rosales; Rosaceae. The record is from RNAcentral.